Molecule: ribosomal RNA, 253 nt
Filed under: uncultured bacterium
Lineage: Bacteria
Description: partial 16S ribosomal RNA
Rfam family: Bacterial small subunit ribosomal RNA
Source: RNAcentral
UACGUAGGGUGCGAGCGUUACUCGGAAUUACUGGGCGUAAAGGGUGCGUAGGCGGUUUGAUAAGUCUGAUGUGAAAUCCCCGGGCUCAACCUGGGAACGGCAUUGGAGACUGUCAAGCUAGAGUGCGUCAGAGGGGGGUAGAAUUCCACGUGUAGCAGUGAAAUGCGUAGAGAUGUGGAGGAAUACCGAUGGCGAAGGCAGCCCCCUGGGAUGACACUGACGCUGAAGCACGAAAGCGUGGGGAGCAAACAGG